CGCCACGCCCGCUCAAGAACUACAAAGGAAUUGGACGGGGCCCGCACAAGCGGAGGAGCAUGUGGUUUAAUUCGAUGAUACGCGAGGAACCUUACCUGGGCUCGAACGUAAGAUGACUGUAGGUGAAAGCUUACAUCUCUUCGGAGCAUUUUUACGAGGUGCUGCAUGGUUGUCGUCAGCUCGUGCCGUGAGGUGUCGGGUUAAGUCCCAUAACGAGCGCAACCCUACCUUUAGUUGCCAUCAGGUAAUGCUGGGGACUCUAAAGGAACUGCCUACGCAAGUAGUGAGGAAGGCGGGGAUGACGUCAAAUCAGCACGGCCCUUACGUCCAGGGCUACACACGUGCUACAAUGGCCGAUACAGAGGACAGCUACCUGGUGACAGGAUGCAAAUCUCCAAAGUCGGUCUCAGUUCGGAUCGGAGUCUGCAACCCGACUCCGUGAAGUUGGAUUCGCUAGUAAUCGCGCAUCAGCCAUGGCGCGGUGAAUACGUUCCCGGGCCUU
This 502-nucleotide ribosomal RNA is filed under the name uncultured Sphingobacteriales bacterium. Its description in RNAcentral is "bacterial SSU rRNA". It matches the Rfam family "Bacterial small subunit ribosomal RNA", at positions 903 to 1382 of the family's 1533-position model. The record is from RNAcentral. Lineage: Bacteria; Pseudomonadati; Bacteroidota; Sphingobacteriia; Sphingobacteriales.